CAGCCGCCGCGGUAAAACGAAGGGGGCUAGCGUUGCUCGGAAUGACUGGGCGUAAAGGGCGCGUAGGCGGUUCGUACAGUCGGAUGUGAAAUUCCUGGGCUUAACCUGGGGGCUGCAUUCGAUACGUGCGGGCUUGAGUGUGGAAGAGGGUUGUGGAAUUCCCAGUGUAGAGGUGAAAUUCGUAGAUAUUGGGAAGAACACCGGUGGCGAAGGCGGCAACCUGGUCCAUGACUGACGCUGAGGCGCGAAAGCGUGGGGAGCAAACAGGAUUAGAUACCCCCGUAGUCCCUGUCUCUUAUAU
RNAcentral lists this ribosomal RNA (301 nucleotides) under uncultured bacterium. RNAcentral's name for it is "partial 16S ribosomal RNA". It matches the Rfam family "Bacterial small subunit ribosomal RNA", at positions 509 to 809 of the family's 1533-position model. The record is from RNAcentral.